GACGAACCGUGCAAACGUUGUUCGGAAUCACUGGGCUUAAAGGGCGCGUAGGCGGGCGGCCAAGUCAGGGGUGAAAUCUUUCGGCUCAACCGGAAAAUUGCCUUUGAUACUGGUUGUCUCGAGGGAGGUAGGGGCAUGUGGAACUUCCGGUGGAGCGGUGAAAUGCGUUGAUAUCGGAAGGAACGCCGGUGGCGAAAGCGACGUGCUGGACCUCUUCUGACGCUGAGGCGCGAAAGCUAGGGGAGCGAACGGG
This 253-nucleotide ribosomal RNA is filed under the name uncultured bacterium. RNAcentral describes it as "partial 16S ribosomal RNA". It matches the Rfam family "Bacterial small subunit ribosomal RNA", at positions 524 to 776 of the family's 1533-position model. The record is from RNAcentral.